Ribosomal RNA from Carassius auratus (goldfish), 119 nucleotides. NCBI's taxonomy places the organism in Eukaryota, Metazoa, Chordata, Actinopteri, Cypriniformes, Cyprinidae. The record is from Ensembl.
GCUUACGGCCAUACCAACCUGGCUAUGCCCGAUCUCGUCUGCUCUCCGAAGCUAAGCAGGUUUGGGCCUAGUUAGUACUUGGAUGGGAGACCGCCUGGGAAUACCAGGUCCUGUAAGCU